This 400-nucleotide unclassified non-coding RNA is filed under the name uncultured Solirubrobacteraceae bacterium. RNAcentral's name for it is "contains 16S-23S intergenic spacer region". Lineage: Bacteria; Bacillati; Actinomycetota; Thermoleophilia; Solirubrobacterales; Solirubrobacteraceae. The record is from RNAcentral.
ACGGACUACCGGGGUAUCUAAUCCUGUUUGCUCCCCACGCUUUCGCGUCUCAGCGUCAGUCACGUCCCAGAGUGCUGCCUUCGCCAUUGGUGUUCCUCCUGAUAUCUGCGCAUUUCACCGCUACACCAGGAAUUCCACACUCCUCUUCCGGACUCGAGCUUGACAGUAUCCACCCGCCUCCCGGGGUUGAGCCCCGGGCUUUCAGAGCAGACUUACCAAGCCGCCUACACGCGCUUUACGCCCAAUGAUUCCGGACAACGCUUGCCCCCUACGUAUUACCGCGGCUGCUGGCACGUAGUUAGCCGGGGCUUCUUCUGAAGGUACCGUCACUCCGGCCGGCUAUUCACCGACGAAGCUUCGUCCCAACUGAAAGCGGUUUACAACCCGAAGGCCGUCUUCC